GUGAGGAAUUUUGCGCAAUGGCCGCAAGGCUGACGCAGCAACGCCGCGUGGGUGAUGAAGGCCUUCGGGUCGUAAAGCCCUGUCAGGUGGGAAGAAAGGCCUGGAGAGGAAAGGUUUCAGGUUUGACGGUACCACCAGAGGAAGCACCGGCUAACUCCGUGCCAGCAGCCGCGGUAAUACGGAGGGUGCGAGCGUUAUUCGGAAUUACUGGGCGUAAAGCGCGUGUAGGCGGGGGGACAAGUCUGAUGUGAAAGCCCUGGGCUUAACCUGGGAAGCGCAUUGGAAACUGUGUUUCUUGAGUACUGGAGAGGAAGGGGGAAUUCCCGGUGUAGAGGUGAAAUUCGUAGAGAUCGGGAGGAAUACCAGUGGCGUAGGCGCCCUUCUGGACGGUAACUGACGCUGAGACGCGAAAGCGUGGGGAGCAAACAGGAUUAGAAACCCGGGUAGUCC
Molecule: ribosomal RNA, 450 nt
Filed under: uncultured bacterium
Lineage: Bacteria
Description: partial 16S ribosomal RNA
Rfam family: Bacterial small subunit ribosomal RNA
Source: RNAcentral